CCCCAGGUCAGGCGGGGCUACCCCGCUGAGUUUA
RNAcentral lists this ribosomal RNA (34 nucleotides) under Morus alba var. atropurpurea. RNAcentral describes it as "partial 28S ribosomal RNA". The record is from RNAcentral. Lineage: Eukaryota; Viridiplantae; Streptophyta; Magnoliopsida; Rosales; Moraceae.